Molecule: ribosomal RNA, 465 nt
Filed under: Vreelandella stevensii
Lineage: Bacteria; Pseudomonadati; Pseudomonadota; Gammaproteobacteria; Oceanospirillales; Halomonadaceae
Description: partial 16S ribosomal RNA
Rfam family: Bacterial small subunit ribosomal RNA
Source: RNAcentral
CCUACGGAGGGCAGCAGUGGGGAAUAUUGGACAAUGGGCGAAAGCCUGAUCCAGCCAUGCCGCGUGUGUGAAGAAGGCCUUCGGGUUGUAAAGCACUUUCAGUGGGGAAGAAAGCCUUGGGGCUAAUACCCUCGAGGAAGGACAUCACCCACAGAAGAAGCACCGGCUAACUCCGUGCCAGCAGCCGCGGUAAUACGGAGGGUGCGAGCGUUAAUCGGAAUUACUGGGCGUAAAGCGCGCGUAGGCGGUCUGAUAAGCCGGUUGUGAAAGCCCCGGGCUCAACCUGGGAACGGCAUCCGGAACUGUCAGGCUAGAGUGCAGGAGAGGAAGGUAGAAUUCCCGGUGUAGCGGUGAAAUGCGUAGAGAUCGGGAGGAAUACCAGUGGCGAAGGCGGCCUUCUGGACUGACACUGACGCUGAGGUGCGAAAGCGUGGGUAGCAAACAGGAUUAGAUACCCGUGUAGUC